UACGUAGGUGGCAAGCGUUGUCCGGAGUUAUUGGGCGUAAAGCGCGCGCAGGCGGUGCGGUAAGUCUCUGGUGAAAGCGCUCGGCUUAACUGGGCGAGGGCCGGGGAGACUGCCACGCUGGAGGGGAGCAGAGGCGAGUGGAAUUCCGGGUGUAGUGGUGAAAUGCGCAGAUAUCGGGAGGAACACCGGUGGCGAAGGCGGUUCUCUGGGCCCUACCUGACGCUGAGGAGCGAAAGCGUGGGGAGCGAACAGG
Molecule: ribosomal RNA, 253 nt
Filed under: uncultured bacterium
Lineage: Bacteria
Description: partial 16S ribosomal RNA
Rfam family: Bacterial small subunit ribosomal RNA
Source: RNAcentral